This 162-nucleotide small RNA is filed under the name Achromobacter insuavis. RNAcentral describes it as "Manganese sequence". The stretch from base 1 to 133 matches the Rfam family "Manganese Mn2+ riboswitch aptamer (yybP-ykoY)". From Rfam's summary of the family: This RNA was originally discovered in E. coli during a large scale screen and was named SraF. The family was later found to exist upstream of related families of protein genes in many bacteria, including the the yybP and ykoK genes in B. subtilis. The record is from RNAcentral. Lineage: Bacteria; Pseudomonadati; Pseudomonadota; Betaproteobacteria; Burkholderiales; Alcaligenaceae.
CAAUCGCGGCACUGUCAUUGGGGAGUAGCCAUCCUUUGUCCCCAAAGGAGUUAGCGUCAACAGACUUGGUGGUUCGGUACCGCGUAGCGGUCGCCAGAACUCCAUGGCGCUAACGGUCUCCAUGUCGCGGCCCGCCCGCGCAUGGAUCAGCCAGGCGAGACC